RNAcentral lists this ribosomal RNA (2866 nucleotides) under Escherichia coli 7-233-03_S3_C1. RNAcentral's name for it is "bacterial LSU rRNA". It matches the Rfam family "Bacterial large subunit ribosomal RNA". Lineage: Bacteria; Pseudomonadati; Pseudomonadota; Gammaproteobacteria; Enterobacterales; Enterobacteriaceae. The record is from RNAcentral.
GUCAGAGGCGAUGAAGGACGUGCUAAUCUGCGAUAAGCGUCGGUAAGGUGAUAUGAACCGUUAUAACCGGCGAUUUCCGAAUGGGGAAACCCAGUGUGUUUCGACACACUAUCAUUAACUGAAUCCAUAGGUUAAUGAGGCGAACCGGGGGAACUGAAACAUCUAAGUACCCCGAGGAAAAGAAAUCAACCGAGAUUCCCCCAGUAGCGGCGAGCGAACGGGGAGCAGCCCAGAGCCUGAAUCAGUGUGUGUGUUAGUGGAAGCGUCUGGAAAGGCGCGCGAUACAGGGUGACAGCCCCGUACACAAAAAUGCACAUGCUGUGAGCUCGAUGAGUAGGGCGGGACACGUGGUAUCCUGUCUGAAUAUGGGGGGACCAUCCUCCAAGGCUAAAUACUCCUGACUGACCGAUAGUGAACCAGUACCGUGAGGGAAAGGCGAAAAGAACCCCGGCGAGGGGAGUGAAAAAGAACCUGAAACCGUGUACGUACAAGCAGUGGGAGCACGCUUAGGCGUGUGACUGCGUACCUUUUGUAUAAUGGGUCAGCGACUUAUAUUCUGUAGCAAGGUUAACCGAAUAGGGGAGCCGAAGGGAAACCGAGUCUUAACUGGGCGUUAAGUUGCAGGGUAUAGACCCGAAACCCGGUGAUCUAGCCAUGGGCAGGUUGAAGGUUGGGUAACACUAACUGGAGGACCGAACCGACUAAUGUUGAAAAAUUAGCGGAUGACUUGUGGCUGGGGGGGAAAGGCCAAUCAAACCGGGAGAUAGCUGGUUCUCCCCGAAAGCUAUUUAGGUAGCGCCUCGUGAAUUCAUCUCCGGGGGUAGAGCACUGUUUCGGCAAGGGGGUCAUCCCGACUUACCAACCCGAUGCAAACUGCGAAUACCGGAGAAUGUUAUCACGGGAGACACACGGCGGGUGCUAACGUCCGUCGUGAAGAGGGAAACAACCCAGACCGCCAGCUAAGGUCCCAAAGUCAUGGUUAAGUGGGAAACGAUGUGGGAAGGCCCAGACAGCCAGGAUGUUGGCUUAGAAGCAGCCAUCAUUUAAAGAAAGCGUAAUAGCUCACUGGUCGAGUCGGCCUGCGCGGAAGAUGUAACGGGGCUAAACCAUGCACCGAAGCUGCGGCAGCGACGCUGAUGCGUUGUUGGGUAGGGGAGCGUUCUGUAAGCCUGCGAAGGUGUGCUGUGAGGCAUGCUGGAGGUAUCAGAAGUGCGAAUGCUGACAUAAGUAACGAUAAAGCGGGUGAAAAGCCCGCUCGCCGGAAGACCAAGGGUUCCUGUCCAACGUUAAUCGGGGCAGGGUGAGUCGACCCCUAAGGCGAGGCCGAAAGGCGUAGUCGAUGGGAAACAGGUUAAUAUUCCUGUACUUGGUGUUACUGCGAAGGGGGGACGGAGAAGGCUAUGUUGGCCGGGCGACGGUUGUCCCGGUUUAAGCGUGUAGGCUGGUUUUCCAGGCAAAUCCGGAAAAUCAAGGCUGAGGCGUGAUGACGAGGCACUACGGUGCUGAAGCAACAAAUGCCCUGCUUCCAGGAAAAGCCUCUAAGCAUCAGGUAACAUCAAAUCGUACCCCAAACCGACACAGGUGGUCAGGUAGAGAAUACCAAGGCGCUUGAGAGAACUCGGGUGAAGGAACUAGGCAAAAUGGUGCCGUAACUUCGGGAGAAGGCACGCUGAUAUGUAGGUGAAGUCCCUUGCGGAUGGAGCUGAAAUCAGUCGAAGAUACCAGCUGGCUGCAACUGUUUAUUAAAAACACAGCACUGUGCAAACACGAAAGUGGACGUAUACGGUGUGACGCCUGCCCGGUGCCGGAAGGUUAAUUGAUGGGGUUAGCGCAAGCGAAGCUCUUGAUCGAAGCCCCGGUAAACGGCGGCCGUAACUAUAACGGUCCUAAGGUAGCGAAAUUCCUUGUCGGGUAAGUUCCGACCUGCACGAAUGGCGUAAUGAUGGCCAGGCUGUCUCCACCCGAGACUCAGUGAAAUUGAACUCGCUGUGAAGAUGCAGUGUACCCGCGGCAAGACGGAAAGACCCCGUGAACCUUUACUAUAGCUUGACACUGAACAUUGAGCCUUGAUGUGUAGGAUAGGUGGGAGGCUUUGAAGUGUGGACGCCAGUCUGCAUGGAGCCGACCUUGAAAUACCACCCUUUAAUGUUUGAUGUUCUAACGUUGACCCGUAAUCCGGGUUGCGGACAGUGUCUGGUGGGUAGUUUGACUGGGGCGGUCUCCUCCUAAAGAGUAACGGAGGAGCACGAAGGUUGGCUAAUCCUGGUCGGACAUCAGGAGGUUAGUGCAAUGGCAUAAGCCAGCUUGACUGCGAGCGUGACGGCGCGAGCAGGUGCGAAAGCAGGUCAUAGUGAUCCGGUGGUUCUGAAUGGAAGGGCCAUCGCUCAACGGAUAAAAGGUACUCCGGGGAUAACAGGCUGAUACCGCCCAAGAGUUCAUAUCGACGGCGGUGUUUGGCACCUCGAUGUCGGCUCAUCACAUCCUGGGGCUGAAGUAGGUCCCAAGGGUAUGGCUGUUCGCCAUUUAAAGUGGUACGCGAGCUGGGUUUAGAACGUCGUGAGACAGUUCGGUCCCUAUCUGCCGUGGGCGCUGGAGAACUGAGGGGGGCUGCUCCUAGUACGAGAGGACCGGAGUGGACGCAUCACUGGUGUUCGGGUUGUCAUGCCAAUGGCACUGCCCGGUAGCUAAAUGCGGAAGAGAUAAGUGCUGAAAGCAUCUAAGCACGAAACUUGCCCCGAGAUGAGUUCUCCCUGACUCCUUGAGAGUCCUGAAGGAACGUUGAAGACGACGACGUUGAUAGGCCGGGUGUGUAAGCGCAGCGAUGCGUUGAGCUAACCGGUACUAAUGAACCGUGAGGCUUAACCUU